AUACAUUCUUUCCUCCAAGAGUCCACACAAUCAAAGCAGGUAUUUCCUUUUGAGGGGGGCCAUCAAAUUCUUCUUCUUGUUCAUUCAUCAGUAUUUCAUUGAAUACUGGAGUUACAUCAGCAGGUCUUUGCAAUGGAGGUACAGGUGUCUGCAAAAUUGUAGUAAUUAAUACAAAGAAUGUUCUUGCUUCAUACAUUAAAGAUAGCAGGUCUUUGCAAUGGAGGUACAGGUGUCUGCAAAAUUGUACUAGUAUCAAUACAAAGAAUGCAAACAUUUGUAGUAUUAGAUAGAUGAAAAUAUUUUAUCCUAAAGAAAAGAUAGAUGAAAACAUUUGGAGUAGGGUAACACAGAUAAAAAGAUUAUAAAUG
This 368-nucleotide long non-coding RNA is filed under the name Triticum aestivum (bread wheat). RNAcentral's name for it is "long non-coding RNA (TAES_LNC003351)". The record is from RNAcentral. Lineage: Eukaryota; Viridiplantae; Streptophyta; Magnoliopsida; Poales; Poaceae.